UACGAAGGGGGCUAGCGUUGUUCGGAUUUACUGGGCGUAAAGCGCACGUAGGCGGUUCGAUCAGUCAGGGGUGAAAUCCCAGAGCUCAACUCUGGAACUGCCUUUGAUACUGUCGAUCUGGAGUAUGGAAGAGGUAAGUGGAAUUCCGAGUGUAGAGGUGAAAUUCGUAGAUAUUCGGAGGAACACCAGUGGCGAAGGCGGCUUACUGGUCCAUUACUGACGCUGAGGUGCGAAAGCGUGGGGAGCAAACAGG
RNAcentral lists this ribosomal RNA (253 nucleotides) under uncultured bacterium. Its description in RNAcentral is "partial 16S ribosomal RNA". It matches the Rfam family "Bacterial small subunit ribosomal RNA", at positions 524 to 776 of the family's 1533-position model. The record is from RNAcentral.